AGUGAACGCUGGCGGUAGGCCUAACACAUGCAAGUCGAACGGCAGCACAGUAAGUUCUUGCUCUUACGGGUGGCGAGUGGCGGACGGGUGAGGUAUACAUCGUAAUCUUCUUUUUCGUGGGUGAUAACGUAGGGAAACUUACGCUACUACCGCAUACUUCCUACCGGUGAAAGCAGUGGUUCUUCUCACCUUUCGCGUUUGUAUUAGCCGAUGUCGGAUUAGCUAGUUGGCGGGGUAAUGUCCCACCAAGGCGACGAUCCGGAGCUUGUCUGAGAGGAUGAUCAGCCACACGGGAAGGGAGACACGGAACAGAGUACGACGGGAGGCAGCAGUGGGGAAUAGUGGACAAUGGGGGAAAGCAUGAUACAGCAAUACCGAGUGGGUGAAGAAGGCGUUCGGGUUGUAAAGCCCUUUUGUGGGGAAAGAAAAGCAGCAGGUUAAAACGAAGCUGUAGUGACGGUAACGAAAGAAAAAGCACCGGCUAACUACGUG
RNAcentral lists this ribosomal RNA (492 nucleotides) under uncultured bacterium. Its description in RNAcentral is "partial 16S ribosomal RNA". It matches the Rfam family "Bacterial small subunit ribosomal RNA", at positions 29 to 507 of the family's 1533-position model. The record is from RNAcentral.